GGGCGCUUCUCCAUUGGCACGG
Molecule: microRNA, 22 nt
Filed under: Aegilops tauschii
Lineage: Eukaryota; Viridiplantae; Streptophyta; Magnoliopsida; Poales; Poaceae
Description: ata-miR399a-5p
Gene: ata-miR399a-5p
Source: miRBase by way of RNAcentral